RNAcentral lists this unclassified non-coding RNA (380 nucleotides) under uncultured bacterium. RNAcentral's name for it is "contains 16S-23S intergenic spacer region". The record is from RNAcentral.
UCCGGUUUGGCACCGGCAGUCCUCCCAGAGUCCUCGGCAUGACCCGGUAGCAACUGGGAGCGGGGGUUGCGCUCGUUGCGGGACUUAACCCAACAUCUCACGACACGAGCUGACGACAGCCAUGCAGCACCUGUCUAGGGACUCCGAAGAGGGGGUCUCGUUUCUGAGACCUUUCCCCUAGAUGUCAAGCCCAGGUAAGGUUCUUCGCGUCGCAUCGAAUUAAGCCGCAUGCUCCGCCGCUUGUGCGGGCCCCCGUCAAUUCCUUUGAGUUUCAGUCUUGCGACCGUACUCCCCAGGCGGCGAACUUAACGCGUUAGCUUCGAUACUGCGUGCCAAAUUGCACCCAACAUCCAGUUCGCAUCGUUUAGGGCGUGGACUAC